UGCCAGCCGCCGCGGUAAUACGGAGGGUGCAAGCGUUAAUCGGAAUUACUGGGCGUAAAGCGCUCGUAGGCGGUUUGUUAAGUCGGAUGUGAAAGCCCCGGGCUCAACCUGGGAACUGCAUUCGAUACUGGCAGACUAGAGUAUAGUAGAGGCAAGUGGAAUUCCGGGUGUAGCGGUGAAAUGCGUAGAUAUCCGGAGGAACAUCAGUGGCGAAGGCGACCUUCUGGACUGAUACUGACACUGAGGUGCGAAAGUGUGGGGAGCAAACAGGAUUAGAUA
RNAcentral lists this ribosomal RNA (279 nucleotides) under uncultured bacterium. RNAcentral's name for it is "partial 16S ribosomal RNA". It matches the Rfam family "Bacterial small subunit ribosomal RNA", at positions 506 to 784 of the family's 1533-position model. The record is from RNAcentral.